This 234-nucleotide unclassified non-coding RNA is filed under the name Hevea brasiliensis (rubber tree). Lineage: Eukaryota; Viridiplantae; Streptophyta; Magnoliopsida; Malpighiales; Euphorbiaceae. The record is from RNAcentral.
AUACUGUUAAUCAUAUGCAAAUUAAUUUGCUAGCAUUCUCAAUCGCAUAAACACUUUAUCAUAGAUAGAACAAGACAAACAAACACAUUGACAAUAAAGUAAAAACCCCAUCAACAAGCAUUUUGAGCCUUUGACAAUGGAAAACAUUUUGGUUAAUUAGCUGCUUCUAUUAAUGGUUAUCGAACCAUGCCAACCUUCCAAUUUUCAUUUUUCCCUUUACUAAGAGCAAAUUUG